This is a non-coding RNA of Punica granatum (pomegranate), 2208 nucleotides long. NCBI's taxonomy places the organism in Eukaryota, Viridiplantae, Streptophyta, Magnoliopsida, Myrtales, Lythraceae. The record is from RefSeq and is a predicted model, not a curated record.
CGAUACGAUGAAGAAGUUGUUUGCCAGCCCGUUACUUGAAACUUUAGAAGUUGACGAUUGUUGUUGGGUGAAACCCAAAAGGAUACGCAUUUCUGCCCCAGGCUUCAACAUUUAUAUAUCAAAAUCUAUUCUCAUAGUUCAUAUGACUGCAUCCUACACAUCAGUGGACCUUGUCUUAAAUCCUUCCACUAUCAUGGCGUUUUCGUCAAAGAAUACUGCAUAUUGGGAGUCACCAGACAGCUAAUUGAGGUCAAGCUACUACUGAGUUUUAGAAGUGUAAGAGAUAGAGAAGUAGCCCAGGGUAACAAGCUCCUGUCAGUCUUCUCAAAUGUGAAGGAGUUAACUCUAUCUUACGCAAUUCUAGAGGCGAGCUCCUUUUCGUACAUUUUCCCUCUCUAGUGUGAUUUUAUUUUGUUUCUAUCGCAGAGGUUCACCAUUUUGCUCCAUCCUUAGGACCUUGCCACAAGGGAUGAGCUUCCUUUGUUCAGUAAUAUGAUCAAGGUCACAUCGGAUUGGAUAAGUUCUAUAACUGUUAAGGGCCUUUGGGGGAUAUUGAGAAGAUCCCCUCAUCUUCGAAGCCUCUACUUUAGACUGGGAUUCAAGUACUAUCCACAAAAUGGAAUAGAAGAGUUGCUACACCAAGUGCCUUCAUGUUUCGUUACAGAGCUCACAAAGAUAUCUGUCAAGUUUCGUAAUGGGAUAGGUGGCCCGGAAGAGCUUUUCGUGGUUGGGAUUUUCCUUGAGAAGGUUGUGGCUUUGAGAGAAAUGGUUAUCCUAUUUCCCGAGGACUGUGUGGACGAGGAGAAUCUGCUGGAGAGUUUAAGCAAGUUUCCCAAGGGGUCAAAGAAAUGUCGAAUAUCAUUGCAAGCACAACCUAUGGGUUGAGAUUGGAAAAUCUUGUGGGAUUAAUUUAGUCUGUCGUGAUAUUUUGAUUCGUGAAAUGAGCUUCCAUUGUGAUUUUGUUUGGUGCCUUUUUGUUUAGUUAUAUACUUUGUAAGUUUGAUGUAAUUUUGUCUACAGAGGCACAUCAGAGGAAGUAUGCAAUCCAGAAUCCUUGGUCAGAAGAGGUUCUUGAACUAGACCUGAGUCAUGGGAGAAAGAAACAGCAUAUUCGGCGGAUGAAAAAGAUGACAAAACAAAGGCUUUUCGAGCAUCUGUCAGCAACAUUGUCGCACACUCCAACUCUGCAGUAGAAGUAAGUAUAAGAUAUAUUUUUUCUUAGUUGUUUCUUCUACUAGUGCAGGUCAUGAUCUAAUUUGUAGUCAUUUCAAAUGCCUGCAUAUUCACUUUGUUCUAAAGUUAUCAUCCAUCUUUAUUUCACUUCUAAAUUUGUUCCAUAGCGUGUUUCUCUAAACUAUUUGCUUAUUUGUUGCUGACAUAUCGGUUGAGCUGCUUAUAAAAAGAAAGAUGAUAUUUUGAUUGAGGGACACAAUGCUCUAUGAAUCAAGCUUAUGCCUUAAGAAUGGUAUGUACUUCGGAUUUUCUCCGGAAUUUAAAAGAAACUGUUUGGGAAGUCUGUGUACCUUCUUAUGUGACUUAACCUGGAUUUUUCUUUAUGAUUCAUGAGGUGGAUAUCGUUGUGUGUCCACGUCAUUUUCUUUCUAAAACUGAUAUAAAGAGAUUUUUCUUCAUUCUACUUGUUGUAGACGUUAGACUGAGUGGUAAUCAUUUUGAUAAGAAAAAUUAUUACUAGAUGAAAAAUAUUUGGGGUUCCCUUUCAUGCUUGCCAUGAAGAUGAGUUUUCUGGUAUUUCCACUUUCUCUUUAGUAUUUCUUGAAGCAAAAUGAAAAACUGGAUAGCUUUACAAGAGAUUUAUUGUUUUCCAAAAAAAAAACAAAUUGUGGCAGUAGAGCCAGUCUCGCAAUGUUUUCUCCCUCAUCUUUUAUUUCCAAGUAGCAAAAAAUUAUAGUAUGUUUAUCUCUUCGAAAUGUAAGAACAUCUACAUUUGGCAACCUCUCGAGUUAAAUAGUGGUGUAGGCGAAUGCAAGAACAGAGGCAUGGUAGGAGUUUGUGGCGGCGUUGAAGGAAUCCAUAGCUCAUUUGAAUAUUUGGUUUCCAUUUGAUGAGCUAUUCCAUUUGUUAGUGCUACAGUCUCUGGGCUCAAUUCUUUUACAGUGGUGAGAGAGCACAAUUUUGGAUAUAAGUAACGAACAUUAGACAUGUCAUUAGUUUUUGUCAUGUUGAUACAUAAGAAUCUUCAUUCUUGUA